Molecule: ribosomal RNA, 449 nt
Filed under: uncultured bacterium
Lineage: Bacteria
Description: partial 16S ribosomal RNA
Rfam family: Bacterial small subunit ribosomal RNA
Source: RNAcentral
AGCGAACGCUGGCGGCAGGCUUGACACAUGCAAGUCAAACGCCAUCUUCGGAUGGAGUGGCAGUCGGGUGAGUAACGCGUGGAAACAUACCUUUUGCUUCGGAAUAUUCCCGGGAAACUGGGAGCAAUACCGAAUACGCCCUGAGGGGGAAAGAUUUAUCGGCAAAAGAUUGGUCCGCGUUAGAUUAGGUAGUUGGUAGGGUAAUGGCCUACCAAGCCUACGAUCUAUAGCUGGUCUGAGAGGAUGAUCAGCCACAUUGGGACUGAGACACGGCCCAAACUCCUACGGGAGGCAGCAGUGGGGAAUAUUGGACAAUGGGCGAAAGCCUGAUCCAGCCAUGCCGCGUGAAUGAUGAAGGCCUUAGGGUUGUAAAAUUCUUUCACCGGGGACGAUAAUGACGGUACCCGGAGAAGAAGCCCCGGCUAACUUCGUGCCAGCCGCCGCCGUAA